RNAcentral lists this ribosomal RNA (253 nucleotides) under uncultured bacterium. Its description in RNAcentral is "partial 16S ribosomal RNA". It matches the Rfam family "Bacterial small subunit ribosomal RNA", at positions 524 to 776 of the family's 1533-position model. The record is from RNAcentral.
UACGAAGGGGGCUAGCGUUGCUCGGAAUCACUGGGCGUAAAGCGCAUGUAGGCGGAUCGUUAAGUCGGGGGUGAAAUCCUGGAGCUCAACUCCAGAACUGCCUUUGAUACUGGCGAUCUUGAGUCCGGGAGAGGUGAGUGGAACUCCGAGUGUAGAGGUGAAAUUCGUAGAUAUUCGGAAGAACACCAGUGGCGAAGGCGGCUCACUGGCCCGGUACUGACGCUGAGGUGCGAAAGCGUGGGGAGCAAACAGG